Molecule: long non-coding RNA, 1456 nt
Organism: Pristis pectinata (smalltooth sawfish)
Lineage: Eukaryota; Metazoa; Chordata; Chondrichthyes; Rhinopristiformes; Pristidae
Exons: 4
Source: RefSeq, a predicted model, not a curated record
UGGGCAGCGAGAUACAGAGUGACACCAAUAGAGGAGAGUGAGUGACCAGGAGUGGUACAGUGUGUGAGGUGGAGACACCAACAAGGGGGAGUGAUGAUGGAGACCCCUCUGACUGAGAUGGACAGACACCAACAGGAGUGGCAAGAAUUGAAGAUGCUGCCUGGCUACCUAUUAACCUAUGGAAGAACAACACCACAGUUCCUCCAGCACUUUAUCUAAAGCUGGAGCCUGCACACUACAUUUUAGAUCAGCUCCAGAAUCCUUGACCAUGUGGCUUGAAAACUUCCUAUCUGUGCACAACUUUGCAUGUGAUAUUAACAGUGUUUAUGAUGCUUUCUGACAUCCACGAGUGUGCCCUGAACUCCAGAAGCUGGCGCUCUGUUGUGAGCUCUGUUACAGGAAGGGAUUCAAGAAUAUUCUCAAAGCUUCCUGGAGAAAAGGCAAUGUCUUCACUGACACCUAGGACUCCCUGCUGCAUGAUCACUCCAAGUGGGGAAGGAAUAUUAAGGAUCACAGACACCUACAGCAUGGAACCAGGCCCUUUGGCCCAUCAUUGUCUGUGCCAGCUGUCAGGAACCCAUCUAGACUGGUCCCAUUUUGUUUUCUUCACAUUGCCAUACACACCAGAGAUGCUGCCUGACCUUGUGAAUGUUCCCAGCAUUUUCUGUUUCCAUUUCAGCUGCUAGUAACCUUGUGGCUCACCAGACCAGUGUUCAGAGACUACUUUGAUAGGCCGUCAGAGGGAAGUCCUUCACAAACACAAUGUAUCGUGGGAUCUUGAAGUGGGAGAUCUGUGGGAUGCAGAGGUUGGACAAUUUGAACACACUUUCUCUCCUGACUAAGCAACAAAGAAGUGAUUAGGUGUGGGAACUUUGGUGAAAUCUCUCCACAGUGAAUCACAGCCUCUCCCAGUCACACCAUUCCUGAGCCCAAGCUCUUCCCAUUCACUCCUGCGCCAGUGCUCCACACAAUAGAUGCCACAAUCUGCAAGUAGUGACCUUUAUUUAGAUGUAGGCCUAUGUGGACCUCUUGGUGUGAAUAGCAUCAUUUCACAUCCUAACCUCAAGGUUCCCAGAUCUCUAACCCCUUGUUGAAGAGAAGGCCUCUCCCUUUACAAGGAACAGGCUGCUUCUCAACUUUAAGAGGUAACAGGGUAAAUUUCCUGAGUCUCCAUAUCCAUUGAAAACCUCAUUGGGUGGAAACAUUAGUUGGAGAUUCUGGAACUUGGGAUUCUCCUGAUUGUUCACCAUUUUCCAGCCAUUAAUAUUCAAUCAGUUGUCAAUGCCUUGACCUCCACACUCCCAAGACUUGACAGAGGCAGUGCAAUCUCUGACAGUGUGCCUGAAUGACUCUGAGCCUUCUCUGAAUGCACAGUGGUGGAAGAUGUUGCCAAGCCUUUAUCAAUAACAUUUUCAUCUGCGACGUGAGUCGAACAGGAACGGGAUUCUGCUUUGCA